This 346-nucleotide ribosomal RNA is filed under the name uncultured bacterium. Its description in RNAcentral is "bacterial SSU rRNA". It matches the Rfam family "Bacterial small subunit ribosomal RNA", at positions 8 to 334 of the family's 1533-position model. The record is from RNAcentral.
AGAGUUUGAUCAUGGCUCAGGAUGAACGCUGGCGGCGUGCUUAACACAUGCAAGUCGAACGAAGCACUUUAUUUGAUUUCCUUCGGGACUGAUUAUUUUGUGACUGAGUGGCGGACGGGUGAGUAACGCGUGGGUAACCUGCCUUGUACAGGGGGAUAACAGUUGGAAACGGCUGCUAAUACCGCAUAAGCGCACAGCAUCGCAUGAUGCAGUGUGAAAAACUCCGGUGGUAUAAGAUGGACCCGCGUUGGAUUAGCUAGUAGGUGAGGUAACGGCUCACCAAGACCGCGAUCGGUAGCCGGACUGAGAGGUUGAACGGCCACAUUGGGACUGAGACACGGCCCAG